This is a non-coding RNA of Pelobates cultripes (western spadefoot toad), 357 nucleotides long. The record is from the annotation of a GenBank genome assembly. Lineage: Eukaryota; Metazoa; Chordata; Amphibia; Anura; Pelobatidae.
AUGGGACUGAAAUGAUGAAUGUAUGCAGUGUGUGGAUGAUCUCAGCCAAUCCAAUGCUUUCCUAUAGGAAAGCAUUGGGAGGCUAUUGUGGAUGUGUGGCAAAAAGUUGAGCGGCCAAUCAGCAUCUCCUUGGGGAGCAUUAAGCACCUCCAUGCAGACCCAUUCUAAAACACUGCCCCCACUCGCUCCACUCUAAUUUAGUACAGUCCCCUGCCUCCCCCAAUCUAAUACACUGCCCCCAUCACCAAUCUAAUACAUUGCCUCCUCCUUCCCUUAAUUUAAUACAUUGCCUCCUCCUUCCCUUAAUUUAAUACACUGGCCCCUCCCUCCCCAAAUUAAUAUACUGCACCCCUCCCC